CGUACGAAACGGCAAAACCAUUGAAAGAUGGUGACGCAAAACUAUAGGGGCUAAUGUUUACCAACGAUGCUUGCCAGUUACCGAA
This 85-nucleotide non-coding RNA is filed under the name Neobacillus bataviensis. RNAcentral describes it as "Bacillus bataviensis c-di-GMP sequence". It matches the Rfam family "c-di-GMP-I riboswitch aptamer". Rfam says of the family: GEMM was predicted in a large-scale screen for bacterial structured RNA regulatory elements. Genes associated with GEMM are involved in a diverse array of functions, including chemotaxis regulation, signal transduction, secretion and chitin. Lineage: Bacteria; Bacillati; Bacillota; Bacilli; Caryophanales; Bacillaceae. RNAcentral also lists the same sequence under 1 other name. The record is from RNAcentral.